This 250-nucleotide ribosomal RNA is filed under the name uncultured bacterium. RNAcentral's name for it is "partial 16S ribosomal RNA". It matches the Rfam family "Bacterial small subunit ribosomal RNA", at positions 524 to 773 of the family's 1533-position model. The record is from RNAcentral.
UACAGAGGUGGCGAACGUUGUCCGGAUUUAUUGGGUGUAAAGGGCAUGUAGGUGGUCUUGUAAGUCAAAGGUGAAAUGGCUCGGCUCAACCGAGUCAUUGCCUUUGAAACUGCCGGACUCGAGUACGGAAGAGGAGAGCGGAAUUCCCAGUGUAGCGGUGAAAUGCGUAGAUAUUGGGAGGAACACCGGUGGCGAAAGCGGCUCUCUGGUCCGAAACUGACACUGAGAUGCGAAAGCCAGGGGAGCAAAC